GUGGACAGGGGUGGGUGGCGCACACAGCCAAACCCCUGCCGACCCUGCUGGGCGGCUCCCACCCACCUCCUUCCCUGGGUGCGGGGCACCUGACACGGGGCUGCACCUGCUCGCCUUGGGGUGGGGGCUCCCCUCAGGCUGGACCCCAGAAGGCAGGCGGGGGUGCGACCCGACACGUUGGAGGGCGCACCCCACAUUGCGCAGGAGCCCGUGGCUGCACCCCUGCUCUCCCCGCGGCUGUGGGGGAAGGAAGCGCCCUGGGGCGCCACCUCCUGGUGGCUUCUCGCCCCGCACCUGCUCACCUGAGCAACCUCGCCAGGGUCCCUGCUAGGCCCGAACCCACCGUGUGUAGGACCCAGAAGCCCUGAGACGUUACGGUUUCGACGCAGAAGGUUAAUGACUGAGCGACGAAAUCCCGCCUUGGAGAACCGGGGAUGGUAUCCAAGGGUCUACACCUGUAGGCACAGAGAUCUGUCCCAAGAAGAAACUGAGACCUAGGGGGCUAAGGACCGCCCCGGGGUGACCUUCUCCAGCCCCGGGCCAGCAGCACAGCAGGGACGCACUCCCUGUGGCAGGGGGGUGGGUCCCAGAGCUGAGCGCUGCCCCCACUGCCCCCGGGACACCUGGACCCCGUGCCGCAGCUGAGGGACCUGGCCGGGGUCUCCGGUGAUGAGCCCAAGGUCACUCAAGAUGCCGGCACCUCCGUGCGGGAAGGAGAGCGAAGCUGAGCCCAGGCUGGGCGGCCGGUUUGGGCCGUGGGGGACUGUCCUCCGUCCCCUGGGCUCCCAAAGGCCGGGAAGGGGGAGCCCGGGGUCGCGGCCUGCCGACCCUUUCUGGAGCAGGUGCCCAGGCUCCUGGCGCUUGGCGGGGACCCCGACACGCAGGGAGCGGGACACACGUUUUCCUUUUAAAUCACGGAGGUUUUUUAUUUUACAUGGAAGUAUUUCAUGUUUUGUAACAAAUUUUAGCGAUUUCUAGUGUUUAGAGGCGACCAAAGCUGUCAAGUGUGGGUGUGACCCGUUUCCUGGUGGGGACCUUGUCGCCACCCCGAGGAACUUCUCAGAGCCUGUAAGUUGUAACAAUGCGUUGGGCUGAAUCAGGGAAACCAGGUCGGUGUUUGAACCACGUUUC
Canis lupus familiaris (dog) is the source of this 1131-nucleotide long non-coding RNA. RefSeq lists it as uncharacterized. Lineage: Eukaryota; Metazoa; Chordata; Mammalia; Carnivora; Canidae. The record is from RefSeq and is a predicted model, not a curated record. The transcript has 4 exons.